Python bivittatus (Burmese python) is the source of this 1346-nucleotide long non-coding RNA. RefSeq lists it as uncharacterized. The record is from RefSeq and is a predicted model, not a curated record. Lineage: Eukaryota; Metazoa; Chordata; Lepidosauria; Squamata; Pythonidae.
UUAAGUAAUGUAAUCAUGUUUAUUCGGUCAAUGACCGGCAAAAUGUAAAAAUAUACCACACAACAGUCAAAUCAAAUGGGUGAGAUAAAAUAGUAACAUAACAAGGAGUCUCUAGAAUAAAAGGUUAUCAGCUGACUUGAACCAGGUCUUCAAGGCUCUCCAAAAUGCCACCAGAGUGGGGUCCAUCCAGAUCUCAGGGGAAACCGCUGCUAUACAGAAGACAUACUUUUGGGGUCCCAAUAGAUGGCAUUGUUUAAUCGAAGGAACCCAGAGCAUGCCAACCCUACAGGAUUGAAUUGGCCAGGCAGAUAUUAUGGGAGACAGGCGGUCCCUUCAGUAACAUCUGACUGUGUUGAUUCUGACCCUUGCAAAUUUGACCGUUUGCCAUAGAGGCUCAGUUCACACAACACAUUGAGCAAAGAUAGGCAGUCUAUAAGUCUUCAGCAGUCCCUAGUCCUGAGAACUUGGAAUCUCACCAUGUUUAUCCAAACCUUAGUGGUCGAUCUCCAUUUUAUACGGCAGUGUGAAUUCUUGUUUUUUUACUGCCAAAUAAAUAAAUCAAUAUAGUCUCUGGUCUCAAAGGAAAUCUUCAUCUAUCUGGGGGACUCUGUCAAGGUUGGUCAUGAGGAGGAGGAUGAAAUGGAGCAGGUACCAGCCACCCCAAGGAAGCUAUAAGUCACAAAUGAAAAAAGGCUGUGAAGCUACUAAUGCUUUCAUUUUUCAUCUCCAAUAAAAGCAUGCAGACUGGACUCCAAGCCAAGCCAACUUGACCAAGGUCAACCGUUGGGGUCAGUAAGCACGUUCUGUCCGGGUUCGGUGUGCUUGUUCUGAACUAGAACAAAGGGACAAAGAAAAGCUACUGAGAACAGCAAGAAUCUAGCUGCCAGGUUUUAUCUGCCACCACAGCCUAUGCUGUCUGAUGGAGUUAUAAUCCAACACAUGGGGAGAGCAGGAAGGACCAUUCUGCAGAUUGGGAGCCAAACCCCAAAUCUUGUGGACAGCUCCGCUAUGCAAGGUUAAACACUUUUAACAUUUCUUUCCCAAUGUGCCCCACAUCUGCAACAGGAGGAAAGGUGCCACUGACUCCAUUGUAAACAGAGAUGUGAGACCUCUUAAUUAUAAUUGGGAGAUCAAGGGUUAACCCUCCUCCAUGCAAGCCAUGAUAUCAAUCAGAUGGACUCCAACUCACACAGAUUUUUAAAAAAUCUUGCACACCCGGUUGAAACCACGUAACCCUCAUGGUUUGAUUGCAUCUUAGCAGAUCCAUGCUGUCUACCCCACCAUUCUCAAAGCCGACCUUGUCUGACCCUGGGCCCUUCUGAUGUCUUCUCCUCCAAAGAGAAAAA